CAGUAGCCGCGGUAAUACGUAGGUGGCAAGCGUUGUCCGGAAUUAUUGGGCAUAAAGGGCUCGCAGGCGGUUUCUUAAGUCUGAUGUGAAAGCCCCCGGCUCAACCGGGGAGGGUCAUUGGAAACUGGGAAACUUGAGUGCAGAAGAGGAGAGUGGAAUUCCACGUGUAGCGGUGAAAUGCGUAGAGAUGUGGAGGAACACCAGUGGCGAAGGCGACUCUCUGGUCUGUAACUGACGCUGAGGAGCGAAAGCGUGGGGAGCGAACAGGAUUAGACCCCAGUAGUCCCUGUCUCUUAUACAC
RNAcentral lists this ribosomal RNA (301 nucleotides) under uncultured bacterium. Its description in RNAcentral is "partial 16S ribosomal RNA". It matches the Rfam family "Bacterial small subunit ribosomal RNA", at positions 509 to 809 of the family's 1533-position model. The record is from RNAcentral.